GAUGAACGCUGGCGGCGUGCCUAAUACAUGCAAGUCGAGCGAACAGACGAGGAGCUUGCUCCUCUGACGUUAGCGGCGGACGGGUGAGUAACACGUGGAUAACCUACCUAUAAGACUGGGAUAACUUCGGGAAACCGGAGCUAAUACCGGAUAAUAUAUUGAACCGCAUGGUUCAAUAGUGAAAGACGGCUUUGCUGUCACUUAUAGAUGGAUCCGAGCCGCAUUAGCUAGUUGGUAAGGUAACGGCUUACCAAGGCAACGAUGCGUAGCCGAGCUGAGAGGGUGAUCGGCCACAUGGGAACGGAGACAGGCUCCAGGCGCCUGCGGGAGGCAGCAGUAGGGAAUCUUCCGCAAUGGGCGGAAGCCUUACGCAGCAACGCCGCGUGAGUGAUGAAGGUCUUCGGAUCGUAAAACUCUGUUAUUAGGUAAGAACAAAUGUGUAAGUAACUGUGCACGUCUUGACGGUACCUGGUCAGAAAGCCACGGCUAACUACGUG
This 497-nucleotide ribosomal RNA is filed under the name uncultured bacterium. Its description in RNAcentral is "partial 16S ribosomal RNA". It matches the Rfam family "Bacterial small subunit ribosomal RNA", at positions 28 to 507 of the family's 1533-position model. The record is from RNAcentral.